RNAcentral lists this ribosomal RNA (750 nucleotides) under uncultured bacterium. RNAcentral describes it as "bacterial SSU rRNA". It matches the Rfam family "Bacterial small subunit ribosomal RNA", at positions 59 to 807 of the family's 1533-position model. The record is from RNAcentral.
CAGUCGAACGAAGCACUUUAUUUGAUUUCCUUCGGGACUGAUUAUUUUGUGACUGAGUGGCGGACGGGUGAGUAACGCGUGGGUAACCUGCCUUGUACAGGGGGAUAACAGUUGGAAACGGCUGCUAAUACCGCAUAAGCGCACGGCAUCGCAUGAUGCAGUGUGAAAAACUCCGGUGGUAUAAGAUGGACCCGCGUUGGAUUAGCUAGUUGGUGAGGUAACGGCCCACCAAGGCGACGAUCCAUAGCCGACCUGAGAGGGUGACCGGCCACAUUGGGACUGAGACACGGCCCAAACUCCUACGGGAGGCAGCAGUGGGGAAUAUUGCACAAUGGGCGAAAGCCUGAUGCAGCGACGCCGCGUGAGCGAAGAAGUAUUUCGGUAUGUAAAGCUCUAUCAGCAGGGAAGAUAAUGACGGUACCUGACUAAGAAGCACCGGCUAAAUACGUGCCAGCAGCCGCGGUAAUACGUAUGGUGCAAGCGUUAUCCGGAUUUACUGGGUGUAAAGGGAGCGCAGGCGGUGCGGCAAGUCUGAUGUGAAAGCCCGGGGCUCAACCCCGGUACUGCAUUGGAAACUGUCGUACUAGAGUGUCGGAGGGGUAAGCGGAAUUCCUAGUGUAGCGGUGAAAUGCGUAGAUAUUAGGAGGAACACCAGUGGCGAAGGCGGCUUACUGGACGAUAACUGACGCUGAGGCUCGAAAGCGUGGGGAGCAAACAGGAUUAGAUACCCUGGUAGUCCACGCCGUAAAC